UCAUUAGCACGAUUACCGCCAUUAUGAUGACCAUUAUUAUGAUUAAUGGUGCGGGUUAGUGCAGCAAAAACAAGAUACAGAAAACCCGCGAUUCAACUGAAUAGCGGGUUUUUUUAUA
This is a regulatory RNA element of Haemophilus influenzae Rd KW20, 118 nucleotides long. NCBI's taxonomy places the organism in Bacteria, Pseudomonadati, Pseudomonadota, Gammaproteobacteria, Pasteurellales, Pasteurellaceae. The record is from Rfam.